This 492-nucleotide ribosomal RNA is filed under the name uncultured bacterium. RNAcentral's name for it is "partial 16S ribosomal RNA". It matches the Rfam family "Bacterial small subunit ribosomal RNA", at positions 29 to 507 of the family's 1533-position model. The record is from RNAcentral.
AGUGAACGCUGGCGGUAGGCCUAACACAUGCAAGUCGAACGGCAGCACAGUAAGAGCUUGCUCUUACGGGUGGCGAGUGGCGGACGGGUGAGGAAUACAUCGGAAUCUACUUUUUCGUGGGGGAUAACGUAGGGAAACUUACGCUAAUACCGCAUACGACCUACGGGUGAAAGCAGGGGAUCUUCGGACCUUGCGCGAUUGAAUGAGCCGAUGUCGGAUUAGCUAGUUGGAGGGGGAAAGGCCCACCAAGGCGACGAUCCGUAGCUGGUCUGAGAGGAUGAUCAGCCACACUGGAACUGAGACACGGUCCAGACUCCUACGGGAGGCAGCAGUGGGGAAUAUUGGACAAUGGGCGCAAGCCUGAUCCAGCCAUACCGCGUGGGUGAAGAAGGCCUUCGGGUUGUAAAGCCCUUUUGUUGGGAAAGAAAAGCAGCAGGUUAAUACCCCGCUGUUCUGACGGUACCCAAAGAAUAAGCACCGGCUAACUUCGUG